Molecule: ribosomal RNA, 253 nt
Filed under: uncultured bacterium
Lineage: Bacteria
Description: partial 16S ribosomal RNA
Rfam family: Bacterial small subunit ribosomal RNA
Source: RNAcentral
UACGGAGGGGGCUAGCGUUGUUCGGAAUUACUGGGCGUAAAGCGCACGUAGGCGGCUUUGUAAGUUAGAGGUGAAAGCCCGGAGCUCAACUCCGGAAUUGCCUUUAAGACUGCAUCGCUUGAAUCCAGGAGAGGUGAGUGGAAUUCCGAGUGUAGAGGUGAAAUUCGUAGAUAUUCGCAAGAACACCAGUGGCGAAGGCGGCUCACUGGCCCGGUACUGACGCUGAGGUGCGAAAGCGUGGGGAGCAAACAGG